AGUCGAACGGAAGUCGUUAUAAAAAGGAUUGAAGAUUUAUCUGAUUGAGAUUUUAUAACAAUGGCUUUAGUGGCGGACUGGUGAGUAACGCGUGAGCAACCUGCCUACUAGAGGGGAAUAACAGUGAGAAAUCAUUGCUAAUACCGCAUAUGUCAUGAACAUCACAUGAUGAAAGUGGGAAAAGAGUAAUCUGCUAGUAGAUGGGCUCGCGUCUGAUUAGAUAGUUGGUGGGGUAACGGCCUACCAAGUCAACGAUCAGUAGCCGGACUGAGAGGUUGAACGGCCACAUUGGGACUGAGAUACGGCCCAGACUCCUACGGGAGGCAGCAGUCGGGAAUAUUGCGCAAUGGAGGAAACUCUGACGCAGUGACGCCGCGUAUAGGAAGAAGGUUUUCGGAUUGUAAACUAUUGUCGUUAGGGAAGAUAUAAGACAGUACCUAAGGAGGAAGCUCCGGCUAACUACGUGCCAGCAGCCGCGGUAAUACGUAGGGAGCAAGCGUUAUCCGGAUUUACUGGGUGUAAAGGGAGCGCAGGCGGUGCGGCAAGUCUGAUGUGAAAGCCCGGGGCUCAACCCCGGUACUGCAUUGGAAACUGUCGUACUAGAGUGUCGGAGGGGUAAGCGGAAUUCCUAGUGUAGCGGUGAAAUGCGUAGAUAUUAGGAGGAACACCAGUGGCGAAGGCGGCUUACUGGACGAUAACUGACGCUGAGGCUCGAAAGCGUGGGGAGCAAACAGGAUUAGAUACCCUGGUAGU
This 753-nucleotide ribosomal RNA is filed under the name uncultured bacterium. RNAcentral's name for it is "bacterial SSU rRNA". It matches the Rfam family "Bacterial small subunit ribosomal RNA", at positions 60 to 794 of the family's 1533-position model. The record is from RNAcentral.